This 56-nucleotide transfer RNA is filed under the name Bos taurus (domestic cattle). It matches the Rfam family "tRNA", at positions 8 to 63 of the family's 71-position model. Rfam says of the family: Transfer RNA (tRNA) molecules are approximately 80 nucleotides in length. Their secondary structure includes four short double-helical elements and three loops (D, anti-codon, and T loops). The record is from Rfam by way of RNAcentral. Lineage: Eukaryota; Metazoa; Chordata; Mammalia; Artiodactyla; Bovidae. RNAcentral also lists the same sequence under 5 other names.
UGGCUUAGAGGUAAAGAAUCUGCUUGCAAAGCAGGAGACUCGGGUUCAAUCCCUGG